Molecule: small nuclear RNA, 351 nt
Filed under: Microtus ochrogaster (prairie vole)
Lineage: Eukaryota; Metazoa; Chordata; Mammalia; Rodentia; Cricetidae
Description: 7SK RNA (ENSMOCG00000010024.1)
Rfam family: 7SK RNA (bases 1-297)
About the family: 7SK was discovered as an abundant small nuclear RNA in the mid-70s but a possible function has only recently been suggested. Two independent studies have found that 7SK RNA binds the CDK9/cyclin T complex (known as elongation factor P-TEFb).
Source: RNAcentral
GGAUGUGAAGGCGAUGUGGCUGCAACAUCUGUCACCCCAUUGAUGGCCAGGGUUGGUUCGGCUGAUCUGGCUGGCUAAGCGGGUGUCCCCUUCCUCCAUCACCACUCCAUGUGCGUCCCUCCCAAAGCUGUGUGCUUGGUCGAAGAGGACGACCUUCCACAAAUAGGGGAGGACCGGUCUUCAGUCACGGGUACACAAGCACCUGCGCUCCCCUGCUAGAACCUCCAAACAAGCUCUCAAAAUAAUCCUAGCCCAGUAUCAGCAGGUUUUGUUUUAGUAGAAAUUGGCGGUCUGAUUAUGAGUUUUUACGUAGAGUAGAAAUACAGAGGACCUGAACAAGUUCACUGCUCU